GAGACAUUCAGAACUGUCUGGGAUUCUGUCACAUGGAAAUCUACCAAGAUGAAACAGGGCUGGCCAUGUAAGGAGCUUGGCAUUUUACCAGAUGAAGAAGCUGAGUCAGAGUAAUUAAAAGAGCUUGCCUGAUGGCAUAGCUCAGCUGGCUGGAACCGAGAUUUGAAACCAGGUUUGAUGGAUUCCAAAUCGUUUAAGUGUGUUAUCCUAUUUCUCACUGUUUUUUAAGGUAGAUUUUUUUUAAAAAAUUGAGAUAAAAUUCACUGGUUUAAGUAUACAAUGUAGUGGUUUUCAGAAUAAUUACAUUAUUGUACAACCAUCACCCCUGCCUUAUUUCAUGAUAUGCCCAUCUCCCAGCCAAAAGAAACUCUUUAUCCGUUAUCAGUCAUUCCAAUUUCUCCCUCCUUUCAUCCUCUGGUGACCACUAAUGCAUUUUCUGUCCCCAUGAAUUCGUCUAUUCUGAACAUUUCAUAUAAAUGAAUCAUACAAUAUGUGGCCUUUUGUGUCUGCCAUCUUCCCCUUAGCAAAAUGUGUUCAAGAUUUAUCCAUGCUGAA
This is a long non-coding RNA of Capra hircus (goat), 555 nucleotides long. RefSeq lists it as uncharacterized. The record is from RefSeq and is a predicted model, not a curated record. NCBI's taxonomy places the organism in Eukaryota, Metazoa, Chordata, Mammalia, Artiodactyla, Bovidae. The transcript is spliced from 2 exons.